GGGCCUAUAGUUUAGCGGUAAAAUUUUCGUCUCCAAAACGAAAGUCCCAGGUUCGACCCCUGGUGGGCCCGCCA
This 74-nucleotide transfer RNA is filed under the name bacterium. RNAcentral describes it as "tRNA-Trp". It matches the Rfam family "tRNA". From Rfam's summary of the family: Transfer RNA (tRNA) molecules are approximately 80 nucleotides in length. Their secondary structure includes four short double-helical elements and three loops (D, anti-codon, and T loops). Further hydrogen bonds mediate the characteristic L-shaped molecular structure. tRNAs have two regions of fundamental functional importance: the anti-codon, which is responsible for specific mRNA codon recognition, and the 3' end, to which the tRNAs corresponding amino acid is attached (by aminoacyl-tRNA synthetases). tRNAs cope with the degeneracy of the genetic code in two manners: having more than one tRNA (with a specific anti-codon) for a particular amino acid; and 'wobble' base-pairing, i.e. permitting non-standard base-pairing at the 3rd anti-codon position. The record is from RNAcentral.